CAGCCUAGACAUCUGUCGCUACCUGGCCCUGGACGAGGCUGACCGCAUGAUCGACAUGGGCUUCGAGGGUGACAUCCGUACCAUCUUCUCCUACUUCAAGGGCCAGCGACAGACCCUGCUCUUCAGUGCCACCAUGCCGAAGAAGAUUCAGAACUUUGCUAAGAGUGCCCUUGUAAAGCCUGUCACCAUCAAUGUGGGGCGCGCUGGGGCUGCCAGCCUGGAUGUCAUCCAGGUGGGCAGGCGCUCCUGAUGGGCGGUCUCUCACCUGUGGGGGCUGGAUCUUACAAGUCUCCCUGAAGCUGAUUGGAGCCGGGUGUCCACCUUGUGGGAACUGGGGGUUUUGUUCAAAGCCCCUGAUGCUUAACCAGGGCCAUUUUUAGGGCACCCAGCCCUUGGCAGCCAGAGGCUUCUGGUCACCUCCUGGUCCAGAUGACGGGCUAUGGCAGGGCUGUGGUGGGUAAGCCUAAUCUCAAGAUCACCUGACCUGAUCCUUGUGGUGGCAGGAGGUAGAAUAUGUGAAGGAGGAGGCCAAGAUGGUGUACCUGCUCGAGUGCCUGCAGAAGACACCCCCGCCUGUGAGUGCA
RNAcentral lists this small RNA (584 nucleotides) under Pongo abelii (Sumatran orangutan). Its description in RNAcentral is "retained intron". The record is from RNAcentral. Lineage: Eukaryota; Metazoa; Chordata; Mammalia; Primates; Hominidae.